This 3107-nucleotide ribosomal RNA is filed under the name Salmonella enterica. Its description in RNAcentral is "23S ribosomal RNA". It matches the Rfam family "Bacterial large subunit ribosomal RNA". Lineage: Bacteria; Pseudomonadati; Pseudomonadota; Gammaproteobacteria; Enterobacterales; Enterobacteriaceae. The record is from RNAcentral.
GGGUUGUGAGGUUAAGCGACUAAGCGUACACGGUGGAUGCCCUGGCAGUCAGAGGCGAUGAAGGGCGUGCUAAUCUGCGAUAAGCGCCGGUAAGGUGAUAUGAACCGUUAUAACCGGCGAUACCCGAAUGGGGAAACCCAGUGUGUUUCGACACACUAUCAUUAACUGAAUCCAUAGGUUAAUGAGGCGAACCGGGGGAACUGAAACAUCUAAGUACCCCGAGGAAAAGAAAUCAACCGAGAUUCCCCCAGUAGCGGCGAGCGAACGGGGAGGAGCCCAGAGCCUGAAUCAGCAUGUGUGUUAGUGGAAGCGUCUGGAAAGGCGCGCGAUACAGGGUGACAGCCCCGUACACAAAAGCGCAUGUGCUGUGAGCUCGAUGAGUAGGGCGGGACACGUGGUAUCCUGUCUGAAUAUGGGGGGACCAUCCUCCAAGGCUAAAUACUCCUGACUGACCGAUAGUGAACCAGUACCGUGAGGGAAAGGCGAAAAGAACCCCGGCGAGGGGAGUGAAAAAGAACCUGAAACCGUGUACGUACAAGCAGUGGGAGCCCCACCACUAAGCCAGUGGUGAACUCCACAUACGCAUCCUUUGCUGAGGAUACGGUUAACGGAGCGAAAGCGACGUUCAACCUCAAAAGAAGCAGAGGGGGCUUAGUGGUGGGGUGACUGCGUACCUUUUGUAUAAUGGGUCAGCGACUUAUAUUCUGUAGCAAGGUUAACCGCAUAGGGGAGCCGUAGGGAAACCGAGUCUUAACCGGGCGUUAAGUUGCAGGGUAUAGACCCGAAACCCGGUGAUCUAGCCAUGGGCAGGUUGAAGGUUGGGUAACACUAACUGGAGGACCGAACCGACUAAUGUUGAAAAAUUAGCGGAUGACCUGUGGCUGGGGGUGAAAGGCCAAUCAAACCGGGAGAUAGCUGGUUCUCCCCGAAAGCUAUUUAGGUAGCGCCUCGUGAAUUCAUCUCCGGGGGUAGAGCACUGUUUCGGCUAGGGGGCCAUCCCGGCUUACCAACCCGAUGCAAACUGCGAAUACCGGAGAAUGUUAUCACGGGAGACACACGGCGGGUGCUAACGUCCGUCGUGAAGAGGGAAACAACCCAGACCGCCAGCUAAGGUCCCAAAGUCAUGGUUAAGUGGGAAACGAUGUGGGAAGGCCCAGACAGCCAGGAUGUUGGCUUAGAAGCAGCCAUCAUUUAAAGAAAGCGUAAUAGCUCACUGGUCGAGUCGGCCUGCGCGGAAGAUGUAACGGGGCUAAACCAUGCACCGAAGCUGCGGCAGCGAACGUAUCACUUAAAGCGAUUCAGCGGGUUACGAUUGACGGAGCGAAGCGACGUCAAAGCGUAUACAAAGUCGAGUCGGUUUAAGGAUACGUUCGUUGGGUAGGGGAGCGUUCUGUAAGCCUGUGAAGGUGUGUCGUGAGGCAUGCUGGAGGUAUCAGAAGUGCGAAUGCUGACAUAAGUAACGAUAAAGCGGGUGAAAAGCCCGCUCGCCGGAAGACCAAGGGUUCCUGUCCAACGUUAAUCGGGGCAGGGUGAGUCGACCCCUAAGGCGAGGCCGAAAGGCGUAGUCGAUGGGAAACGGGUUAAUAUUCCCGUACUUGGUGUUACUGCGAAGGGGGGACGGAGAAGGCUAUGUUGGCCGGGCGACGGUUGUCCCGGUUUAAGCGUGUAGGCUGGUUUUCCAGGCAAAUCCGGAAAAUCAAGGCUGAGGCGUGAUGACGAGGCACUACGGUGCUGAAGCAACAAAUGCCCUGCUUCCAGGAAAAGCCUCUAAGCAUCAGGUAACAUCAAAUCGUACCCCAAACCGACACAGGUGGUCAGGUAGAGAAUACCAAGGCGCUUGAGAGAACUCGGGUGAAGGAACUAGGCAAAAUGGUGCCGUAACUUCGGGAGAAGGCACGCUGACACGUAGGUGAAGUGAUUUACUCAUGGAGCUGAAGUCAGUCGAAGAUACCAGCUGGCUGCAACUGUUUAUUAAAAACACAGCACUGUGCAAACACGAAAGUGGACGUAUACGGUGUGACGCCUGCCCGGUGCCGGAAGGUUAAUUGAUGGGGUCAGCGCAAGCGAAGCUCCUGAUCGAAGCCCCGGUAAACGGCGGCCGUAACUAUAACGGUCCUAAGGUAGCGAAAUUCCUUGUCGGGUAAGUUCCGACCUGCACGAAUGGCGUAAUGAUGGCCAGGCUGUCUCCACCCGAGACUCAGUGAAAUUGAACUCGCUGUGAAGAUGCAGUGUACCCGCGGCAAGACGGAAAGACCCCGUGAACCUUUACUAUAGCUUGACACUGAACAUUGAGCCUUGAUGUGUAGGAUAGGUGGGAGGCUUUGAAGUGUGGACGCCAGUCUGCAUGGAGCCGACCUUGAAAUACCACCCUUUAAUGUUUGAUGUUCUAACGUGGACCCGUAAUCCGGGUUGCGGACAGUGUCUGGUGGGUAGUUUGACUGGGGCGGUCUCCUCCUAAAGAGUAACGGAGGAGCACGAAGGUUGGCUAAUCCUGGUCGGACAUCAGGAGGUUAGUGCAAUGGCAUAAGCCAGCUUGACUGCGAGCGUGACGGCGCGAGCAGGUGCGAAAGCAGGUCAUAGUGAUCCGGUGGUUCUGAAUGGAAGGGCCAUCGCUCAACGGAUAAAAGGUACUCCGGGGAUAACAGGCUGAUACCGCCCAAGAGUUCAUAUCGACGGCGGUGUUUGGCACCUCGAUGUCGGCUCAUCACAUCCUGGGGCUGAAGUAGGUCCCAAGGGUAUGGCUGUUCGCCAUUUAAAGUGGUACGCGAGCUGGGUUUAGAACGUCGUGAGACAGUUCGGUCCCUAUCUGCCGUGGGCGCUGGAGAACUGAGGGGGGCUGCUCCUAGUACGAGAGGACCGGAGUGGACGCAUCACUGGUGUUCGGGUUGUCAUGCCAAUGGCACUGCCCGGUAGCUAAAUGCGGAAGAGAUAAGUGCUGAAAGCAUCUAAGCACGAAACUUGCCCCGAGAUGAGUUCUCCCUGAGACUUAGAGUCUCCUGAAGGAACGUUGAAGACGACGACGUUGAUAGGCCGGGUGUGUAAGCGCAGCGAUGCGUUGAGCUAACCGGUACUAAUGAACCGUGAGGCUUAACCUUACAACGCCGAAG